UACAGAGGGGGCAAGCGUUGUUCGGAAUUACUGGGCGUAAAGGGCGCGUAGGCGGCCUUCUAAGUCGAACGUGAAAUCCCUGGGCUCAACCCAGGAACUGCGUCCGAUACUGAAAGGCUUGAAUCCGGGAGAGGGAUGCGGAAUUCCAGGUGUAGCGGUGAAAUGCGCAGAUAUCAGGAGGAACACCGGUGGCGAAGGCGGAUCUCUGGGCCAUUACUGACGCUGAGGAGCGAAAGCGUGGGGAGCGAACAGG
Molecule: ribosomal RNA, 253 nt
Filed under: uncultured bacterium
Lineage: Bacteria
Description: partial 16S ribosomal RNA
Rfam family: Bacterial small subunit ribosomal RNA
Source: RNAcentral